GAAAACCUUUGUAUACCCACUUCCCAUUUAGAAAUUACUGCAAAUCUUCCUAUCCUUCUCCAGAAUCUAUUCCUAAAUCCCUCUCUUUCUCUCCUCUCUCUGUCCAAGAGUUAUAUUUCCAGGAUGCAUACUCACUAAAUCAAUAAUCUUAACUUCUAUUGUUUUCCAUAAACUCAUAAAAUGUAUUUUUAUUUCACAGUGAAAUUUAUGAUCAAUUUGAUAAGUAUGGGCAAAAAUAAUAUCUUUGAAAUAUGGUUGCUGGGCAGUAAGCUGGGCGCUGUUACUAGCUGGGCAACCCUCAACUCCCCACUCUGCUCACCCUUACCUUACUCCCCACCUUCCACUCCUGCUACCCCCAGCUUUUUGGUGAAAAGUUUAAUCUCACCUCAAAAUUGUAUUUUGCCACAAGUCAACAUUUUUGCUUACAAAUAAUCAAAAUCAAUGCUACAUAUUGUUUCAUCUGCCUGGCAUGCGAUCUGCUGCAUAGACAUCCACACACACUCUGUCCACCAAACAUUUUACCCUAAUUAACUCUUGUUCAUUCUAAAUUUGGCUUAAAUAUUCCUUAUACAAGAAAGCCUUCCAUGACCCUCUUGGUCUGAUUCUGAUGGCCUCUGUGACCCUAAGGCACUCUCUGCAAGCAUCUAUUGGUACUAAUCCUGUGGCUAUUGGUUUAUUUGCAAGUUUCCUCCUUAGAUUAUACUCUUUGUGAAGGAAAAGGCUGUAUGUGUAUAUUUGCUGUUGUUCCUUCAUUUCCCAGUAUAGUGCCUUAACCCAGAGCAGGAGCACAACAAGUGCUUGCUGAAUCUAUACAUAAUUGGAGAAACUGAUUACUGGACAACAGAACAAGGAGUUCAUCUGUAAGAAAUGAAGAAUAAUAGUAAUUACCCUAUAGGAUUCUAUAAUAUUUAAAGUUGUUAAAAUUCUUAAGUAGUGUUAGCCAUUACUAUCAGUAGUAGAUUCAGUGAUUUGGGACAUUAAAAAACACUAUAACACCCAAAUUUAGAUAUACUAAUUGGGGAGUUAGAAUUGAGAAUGCUGGUUGGGUGGCAGGAGCGGAAUUCAAGAAAUAGAAUUAAGUAGUUCCCAUCGUGGCUCAGUGGUUAACAAAUCUGAUUAGGAACCAGGAGGUUGCAGGUUCGAUCCCUGGCCUUGCUCAGUGGGUUAAGGACCCAGCGUUGCUGUGAGCUGUGGUGUAGGUUGCAGACACGGCUCGGAUCCCACGUUGCUGUGGCUCUGGUGUAGGCCAGUGGCUACAGCUCCGAUUGGACCCCUAGCCUGGGAACCUCCAUAUGCCAGGGGAGCAGCCCUAGAAAAGGGAAAAAAAAAAAAAAAAUAGAAUUAAGAACAUAACCUGUUUUCUAUCUGUCUGAUCUUUGUAUCAAGCUUAGUUCUAAGUGCUUUGGAACCAAUGGGGUGCUAAUACUGCCAUGAUAAAGCUGUUACUUUAAUAAAUGUGAUUAUAAAAGCAAAAUUGCAAUCAUUGGGCCCAGGUCCAGGGAUCACUCUCAAACUCAAUAACCUGAACUUUCCCUACAGAAUGGAAAUUGAGCCAUGGUCCUUUGUUGCAAAGACCGAGACUUAGGAAGACAGAUGUCAUUCAAAAUCAAUGCAUUGCUCUCUAACUAGGCAGUUGAACUGGACCACGAAAUAUGAGCAUGCCUAAAAAGUAGACUAUAAGGAGAGAAAAAGCGGAAAUCUAGUUUAGCAUUCUAUCUAGCUGACCUCUCUUUAUAUAAUUUGGAACAUUUUUAAAGAACUAGAUAUGACCAGCAUUCCAUUUCACCUUCAUAAAAUAAAAAUCUUGCAAUAGAAAAGCUAUUAAAAAAUGAUCAGAUAGAAAACUUUUUAAUGGAAUACUAAAAGUUUUUGAAGUUUUUCAAUAAUCACUCUUUCCUUUCCCAAUGUGUUUGGCUUUAAUCUACUGGGUUGGCUAUGAACAUCAUUUUUACUCAUGUGUGACUAGGCCUUUCUAAACCCAUUUUUCAAAAUGGUGGUAUAUUAACUUAUAAUGAAAAAAUUACAUUUUUUAUUGGGAAUUCUCUCUAAUAAGAAGUUUGACCUUUUUAAAUUGUCUUUCCUUCUUUAUUCUUUGUGACUGGUCUUUGUAUGUUUGACUCUUUCAUAUAUUCUUGCUAAUCUCUGAGCUAAUAUAGUAUUGAUUUUUCUCUGAGGUUGUAUUUUAUUAUGAAAUAUAAGCAUUUUUCAGACCAAAUAAUAUACUGUUUCUUCACUAUCACACAACAUUUUUGAUUAGAAAUGGAUUGUGUAUAAUGGAAUAUACAGGAAAAAUUCUGAUGCCACUCUCUAAAACAUAUCACAGAAAAUUGGGGUAGGACAUUCAUGUCGCCAAAUUUCACAAAUAAGGUGUUGUGAAAAAGUGUGGUAAAGAAAUGGAAUAGCAUAAGAAUUAUAAGUGAUUUUUUUUAACUUUUAUUUAUUCUUUAGGAACUGUGUAUUAAUGAUCUUCUGUUAUCAGGCUCUUUGGAUUUAUCAGUGAAGAAAACACAAUGGUAAUCUGCUCUUUGGAGAUUAAAGUUGGUGUAGGAGUUCCUGUUGUGGCUCACUAGAAACAAAUUUGGCAAGUAUCCAUGAGGAUGUGGGGCCUUGCUAAGUGGGUUAAGGAUCUGGCGUUGCCUCAAGCUAUGAUGUAGGUCUUGGACAUGGCUCAGAUCUGGUGUUGCUGUGGCUGUGACUGUGGCUGACAGCUGCAGCUCUGAUCUGACCCUUAGCCCAGGAACUUCCAUAAGCCACAGGUGCAGCCCUAAGAAAAAAACCAAAAAAAACCCCACCAAAACCCAAAACCCAAAAAGGUGGUAUAGCUCACCCACCAGCUGAGGCUCUCUCUGGAGUAAUCUUGUCUUCCUAAUGGCAGCACUUCUUACUUGCUCAGGAAAUACAAUAGAAGCCCUGUUGAUACAAUAGAUGUGUGUGUCUAAAGGUCACAGGAGUGAAUGAUACCAGUUUUUCCUGUCCUGCUCCCUGCACAUCAAUGCUCAAUGGGAAUUUCAAGAGAGUCCAGUGAGUUAUGUAGUAUUAGCUCCUUUGUAUCACAAGAGGAAACUGUACUUAGAGAGGUUAAUGAGCCCAAGUUCAUUUUGCUGCUUCCAUCAUGUUGAACAUUUGGAUCCAGUUCUUCUUUAAAAUUGCAUAUCCUUUCCCCUCAGUUGUUUACCCUUUGCAAACAACUCUGCUUUGAGGUGUUUUGUUUUGUUUUGUUUUUUCGUUUUUUUUUUUUUUUAUUUACCUACUUAGUUUUAUCUUUCUAAAUAUAAAGCAGGCAAGGACAGGGCUCUUGUCUCAUAUUUUGACAUUACUCAUAGAUAACUUUUUGAAAGAUGAAAAUAUAGUAGCUGCUCAUGAAUACAUGAUUAUCCUUUCUCAAUUUUUAAAACAGAGAAUGCUUUUAGGGCAUAGAAAUUAUGCUUAGGUGGCAGUGGAAAAUUUGUGUAUUGUGUAUUAAAUAUCAAAGGUAAAUCUUCAAAAGACAGAUGAUACCAUUCUUUGUUAUCUCCCUUUUCAUUAGCCAGCUCAUUUGGACUGCAAACAGAUGUUCACUGAACAAAAAACUACUUACAUGUACAAUUACCAAUUCUGUAUGCGCCAAUGAAUGCUCCAACUUUACAAAAAGUUAGCUAAAUAUGUUCAAUUUCAUUGAACCAUAUUUUCUCUAAGGGACUGGAUGCUUUGAUAUUGCUGGCCUGUGUUAAGCAGAUAAAGUGCUUUUAAUUUGUCUCUUGGAUUGAUCUAUAGCUAUAACCUAUUUGCUGAAAUAGGGGAUAAAUCUGCUAAAGAUUCUUGGACGUACUGGUUCACUGCCUCUCAUAGGUAAACACCAACUUACUCUCUGUAUUAGGGAGUUCGGUUGUAGCCAGGAAUGAUUUCAUUUGCACCUCCCAUCUACUAUGGCGUUUUUCCUCAAUGAAGAGAGCAGUAUUAGGACACCAGAGGCAGAAAAUGGAAAGCAGAAAUUCACCUAUUAAUUCUGAGUUUCUUAACCUAUCCAAAGAGUCACUCACUGGAAAACAAUCAGGCUUUGUCAGUGUCGACUUAAAAAAUGUGCACAUACUAAAAAUUGAGAGUUAAGUUUUAUUUGGGGCAAAAUUAGGACUUAAGUCCAGGCAAUAACACCUCAGGUAGCCCUGAGAAACUGCUCGAGGAGGCCAGGGGGGAGCCUAGGAUAUAUGAGUUUUUGCAACAAAGGGAAGGUGGUAGGAACAAAAGAUUUACAGAUAACCAGAUUUACAGAAAAAGAUUUACAAAAAAACCAGUUUCUAUGGGAAGAUGUAAAGGGCUGGUCUUAUUGGAAUCACUCCUUAGAUACUCAUCUCAGCGGGGUGGGCCAGUAGUCUUUGUUUUUUCUUGAGUUCCCUCAGGGUUCAUACCUGCCCACCCUUGGAACUGACGCAUUCACAGAUGAUUGUGACAAUUUUUGUUUUGUCCACUUUACAGCCCAGGAGGCAGUAUUUCAGACAGCUAUGACAUACUACCCCAAAAAGGAAAGGGGUAUAUCAAGAUAUAAGUGAUAAAGGUGAAGGGGGAGGUGCACUCGGCCAAGCAUGAAUUUUAGAAAAUUUGCUGUUGGCUUCGUGAAGGUUACUAUUAGCCCCGAGGAGCAGACAUCACCAUGAAGGGUUUUAGUGUUUUUCUAAAUAUGAGGAGAUGCAAGAACUGGGCUCAGAGGAGUUCCCACCAUGGCUCAGUGGAAACGAAUCUGACUAGUUACCGUGAGGACUAGUGAGGACGCAGGUUCAAUCCCUGACCUUGCUCAGUGGGUUAAGUAUCCAGUGUUGCCAUGAGCUGUGGUGUAGGUUGCAGAUGCAACUCAGAUCCUAAGUUGCUGUGGCUAUGGCAUAGGCCAGCGGCUACAGCUCUGAUUUGACCCCUAGCCGGGGAACCUCC
RNAcentral lists this long non-coding RNA (4902 nucleotides) under Sus scrofa (pig). RNAcentral describes it as "lncRNA (ENSSSCG00000054971.1)". Lineage: Eukaryota; Metazoa; Chordata; Mammalia; Artiodactyla; Suidae. The record is from RNAcentral.